CCUACGGGAGGCAGCAGUAAGGAAUAUUGGUCAAUGGAGGCAACUCUGAACCAGCCAUGCCGCGUGCAGGAAGACGGCCCUAUGGGUUGUAAACUGCUUUUGAACUAGAGAAAACCUUGGUACGUGUACCGAGUUGAUAGUAUAGUUAGAAUAAGCAUCGGCUAACUUCGUGCCAGCAGCCGCGGUAAGACGAAGGAUGCAAGCGUUAUCCGGAUUCAUUGGGUUUAAAGGGUGCGUAGGCGGACUGAUAAGUCAGUGGUGAAAUCUCUCAGCUUAACUGAGAAACUGCCAUUGAUACUGUUAGUCUAGAGUACAGAUGAUGUGGGCGGAAUAUGACAUGUAGUGGUGAAAUACUUAGAUAUGUCAUAGAACACCGAUUGCGAAGGCAGCUCACAAAACUGUAACUGACGCUGAGGCACGAAAGUGCGGGGAUCAAACAGGAUUAGAUACCCUGGUAGUCCGCACCGUAAACGAUGAUUACUCGUUGUUGGCGAUAUGACAGUCAGCGACCAAGCGAAAGCGANAAGUAAUCCACCUGGGGAGUACGCCGGCAACGGUUGAAACGUUAAAUGAAUUUACGGCUUGAGACGNGCGAGGAGACACGAGGGAGAG
Molecule: ribosomal RNA, 612 nt
Filed under: uncultured bacterium
Lineage: Bacteria
Description: bacterial SSU rRNA
Rfam family: Bacterial small subunit ribosomal RNA
Source: RNAcentral